AGCGAACGCUGGCGGCAGGCCUAACACAUGCAAGUCGAACGAACUCUUCGGAGUUAGUCGCGGAUGGGGGUGGAACCCGACGGAAGGUGCCCAUAGGGUUGGCAUAACUCAGGGAAACUGGUGCCAACACCGAAUGGGCCCUACGGGGGAAAGAUUUAUCGCCCUUAGUGCGGCCCGCGUCAGAUACGCUAGUUGGGUAGGUAAAGGCUCACCAAGGCGACGAUCAGUAGCUGGUCUGAGAGGAUGGUCAGCCACAUUGGGACUGAGACGCGGCCCAAACUCCUACGCGAGGCAGGAGUGCGGGAUCUUGCAAAAUGGGCGAAAGGCUGACGCAGCCAUGACGGGAGAAUGCUGUAGGUCUUAAGAUUGUAAAAUUCUUUCAACGGGGACGAUAAUGACGGUACCCGGAGAAAAAGCCCCGGCUAACUUCGUG
Molecule: ribosomal RNA, 433 nt
Filed under: uncultured bacterium
Lineage: Bacteria
Description: partial 16S ribosomal RNA
Rfam family: Bacterial small subunit ribosomal RNA
Source: RNAcentral